This 69-nucleotide transfer RNA is filed under the name Anolis ventrimaculatus. RNAcentral's name for it is "tRNA-Tyr". The record is from RNAcentral. Lineage: Eukaryota; Metazoa; Chordata; Lepidosauria; Squamata; Anolidae.
GAUAAAGAGAGGGGUUAAACCUCCUUAAAUAGGACUACAGCCUACCGCCUAUCGCUCGGCCACUUUACC